UGAAAGUGAAUAUUAUCUACAAGCAUAGUUUAAAAAAAAUACUUUUUAAAAUUAAGCACACUUAUUUUUCACAAGAGAUGUACAGUAGGUUAACAUGUGCUUUACUUACAGUUACAGGCGUACAGUUUUUGUCAUAUAUAGUGAGUAAAAUUAAACAUGCUCACUUAGCUGGGAAAAUUGGUUACUCCAAAUCACUCACAGUUUUUCUGGACAAUUUUUUUUUUUAAGGAAAAUUCCGCGAGAAGGCGUCCAUCCUUCACAAAAUUGCCAAAAAGAAAUGCCAAGUGGAGGACUCAAAUGGAGUUGCUGAUAAAAAUCUGCCAAACAGUGUGGAGGUGGACAUGACUCCACCGAUGAAUGGCACCGCUGGACAGGACGGAGAUACAGGUGAAGAGGAUGAUGAGGAAGAUCAGCCUCUGAGCCUGUCGUGGCCCGAGUCCAAACGCAAGCGCCUCACGUAUCUCUUGAUCCUGCCCAUAGUCUUCCCUCUGUGGAUGA
This 498-nucleotide long non-coding RNA is filed under the name Sinocyclocheilus grahami. Its description in RNAcentral is "lncRNA (ENSSGRG00000016043.1)". Lineage: Eukaryota; Metazoa; Chordata; Actinopteri; Cypriniformes; Cyprinidae. The record is from RNAcentral.